Molecule: ribosomal RNA, 484 nt
Filed under: uncultured bacterium
Lineage: Bacteria
Description: bacterial SSU rRNA
Rfam family: Bacterial small subunit ribosomal RNA
Source: RNAcentral
GAUGAACGCUAGCGACAGGCUUAACACAUGCAAGUCGAGGGGCAUCAUGAGGUAGCAAUACCUUGAUGGCGACCGGCGCACGGGUGAGUAACGCGUAUGCAACCUGCCCGAUACCGGGGUAUAGCCCAUGGAAACGUGGAUUAACACCCCAUAGUACUUUUAUCCUGCAUGGGAUGUGAGUUAAAUGUUCAAGGUAUCGGAUGGGCAUGCGUCCUAUUAGUUAGUUGGCGGGGUAACAGCCCACCAAGACGAUGAUAGGUAGGGGUUCUGAGAGGAAGGUCCCCCACAUUGGAACUGAGACACGGUCCAAACUCCUACGGGAGGCAGCAGUGAGGAAUAUUGGUCAAUGGGCGGAAGCCUGAACCAGCCAUGCCGCGUGCGGGAUGAAGGCCCUACGGGUUGUAAACCGCUUUUCCCCGGGAAGAAUAACCCCGAUGAGUCGGGGGAUGCCGGUACCGGGGAAUAAGGAUCGGCUAACUCCGUG